RNAcentral lists this long non-coding RNA (828 nucleotides) under Marmota monax (woodchuck). Lineage: Eukaryota; Metazoa; Chordata; Mammalia; Rodentia; Sciuridae. The record is from RNAcentral.
AGUUAUUUGUGCUAAGCAACAAACUGCCCUGGUCAUACAGAGACAAAAACAACUACCUCAAAUUUUUUUUUAAAAAUCUGAGAACACAAUAAGAAUUCGCAAUGAUAACAGAUUUAAGCACAGGGUGCUUUAAGAGGACAAGCACCAUUUUAAGCAGUCUAACCAAGUUAGUCAUUUCCCUUGUAUUAAUAAGUCAGGUCAAGGUUCAAACUUCUAGAAUAUAUGUUUAAGGGAUUUGACUUUCACACUAUCGUGAGAGCUACUUAAGUUAGACUGUUGUCUUUGUUUCUGAUGCUGAAGUCCAUCUGGCAGUCAAUUAAGGAAAGAUGGAUGCAAAGUGGAAGGCAGUAGGAAUGAUAGGAAUCAGGAAAGAUCACAGCCCAGACUGAAGCCCAUGUCAGUUUUUAUUGUCUCUGAUUUUAGUGAUGUAGUUGUCCUUCAUCACAAACGCCUGUUCCAAAAGUUAGAGGAAACUGAAGUUAUGAUCCAGGUUAAGUAUGGGAAGUUGCCAAGCUACCACUUUUGAGCCAACACAACAUGUACGAACUUCACAACCACACCCCACCCCCGAAUCUUGCUCAAGAGUCUUGUGCUAAGUUACGAUACACCUAUUCUAGUCACAUUUGGUAACUUCCUUAAAGUUACAAAUUUCAACUAAUUUUUUUUUUAUAAAUUUGUAUUAUUCUGGUUAGAUCAGAGAGAUUUGGCUUAGUGUUUUCAUUACAAAUUGUAAUUCCUAUAGAGCCACACACAUACAACUUUUGAACUUUUAAUUUCGCAAUAAGUAGUAAUGGCUAAAAUUUACUGAAAAUUUCAGUAAAAUGUGUG